GGCUCCGUAGCUUAGUUGGAUAAGCACUUGUCUAGCGAAUAAGGGUUCGUGGGUUCAAAUCUCACCUGAGCUG
Aedes albopictus (Asian tiger mosquito) is the source of this 73-nucleotide non-coding RNA. The record is from Rfam. NCBI's taxonomy places the organism in Eukaryota, Metazoa, Arthropoda, Insecta, Diptera, Culicidae.